GAUGAACGCUGGCGGCGUGCCUAAUACAUGCGAGUAGAACGCUGAAGGAGGAGCUUGCUCUUCUGGAUGAGUUGCGAACGGGUGAGUAACGCGUAGGUAACCUGCCUGGUAGCGGGGGAUAACUAUUGGAAACGAUAGCUAAUACCGCAUGACAACAGUUAUUGCAUGAUAACUGUUUAAAAGGGGCAACUGCUCCACUACCAGAUGGACCUGCGUUGUAUUAGCUAGUUGGUGAGGUAACGGCUCACCAAGGCGACGAUACAUAGCCGACCUGAGAGGGUGAUCGGCCACACUGGGACUGAGACACGGCCCAGACUCCUACGGGAGGCAGCAGUAGGGAAUCUUCGGCAAUGGACGGAAGUCUGACCGAGCAACGCCGCGUGAGUGAAGAAGGUUUUCGGAUCGUAAAGCUCUGUUGUAAGAGAAGAACGAGUGUGAGAGUGGAAAGUUCACACUGUGACGGUAUCUUACCAGAAAGGGACGGCUAACUACGU
RNAcentral lists this ribosomal RNA (494 nucleotides) under uncultured bacterium. RNAcentral's name for it is "partial 16S ribosomal RNA". It matches the Rfam family "Bacterial small subunit ribosomal RNA", at positions 28 to 506 of the family's 1533-position model. The record is from RNAcentral.